CGAAAGCGCAGGAGAACUGCGCAUCAUUAUAUUAAGAAGGAAAAAAAGGAAGGCCUUAGAAGGCCAGACUUGAUUUUAUAUUUCCGAUAGAUGAAGUAGACUUUAUAAAUGUAUUACAUACUUAAAGUACAAACUCUGAGCACAUAACGAACAUCUGACAGAAUGGAACCAUCAUUAGCGUACCAAUGACCAGCUACAAUGCUGUAUUAAACGUUUCCUCUAUUUUGUAUAGUUUUGCAAUUUCAGCAGUGAGUAACAUAGCAUGAAUGAAUCUCUUCGUAAAUGGAAGUUUAAAUACACGAGUAAAACUUUUACUGUGGUUAUUAACUUAUUGUGUUCUCUAUUUUUCUUUUUUUAGAAGAAUACAGUAGGGAAAGGCCCUGGUAAAAAUACAACAGAAAUGUCUACAAAAGCCUAUUCAGCAAAGGAGACUAUUGCUAUGUGAGAACUUAAUUCUGUGUAGAAGCAGCUUUACAGUAUGUACAAGUUCUAUACUUUUCUUUUUUUUCUUGAAAGCGCAGGAGAACUGCGCGAUAAUAUAUUAAAGAAGAGGGACAGAAUUAAGACCCUAGGACAGAUACAAAAACAAACGCGAAAGGGCCUCCAGCCGAAUUGGUUAGGUGGUCUGAGUAGCACUCCUCAUGUCCUGGGCUCGACUCCCCAUGGGAGCGAAUUUCAGGUUGUGGUUAAAAAAAAUCCUCUCGUCUGUCCCACGGCAAAGCACAGGACUAAGGCUCGGCCCGGUCGCGGUCGUUCUCACAUGGGCUUCGAUGCCGCUGUGUAUGGGUGGGGCAGGGGUUCGAGGGUUUUCUCGACCUGUGUGAGAAGGCCUUCUUCUUAAUACAAUACUCGGGUUGUCUUACCCCCCGCGGGUCGAGUUUUAGAUACAAGAACAAACUGGGGGGGGGGGGGGGGGGGGGGGGGGCUACAGCGGCCAAUAACAGGCAUACAGAAACCCAUCCAUGACUAAACAACUAACAAAAACUACCACAAUGCUAGCUAACUAGCAGGGAGGACCAGAAUGGGGGCGGUGAGCAAAGACAACUUCUUUGCACCAACCAUCUCCCGAUGGUCAACCUCCAACCCACCAACUCUUCUAAUAGCAUCAGCAAUAUUGGGGCUCUUAUUGUCAAAAACAAAGCCAUUGCGUGGCUUCCAUAAGGUCCAAACUCCCAGAAUGACUAGAGAAUUGAGGCCAUGCCUUGCGAUUCUAGAGACCUUAGUGCAUAACAUUCUCCACCAUUCAAGGAAGGCACUAUCCUCAGAUUGGGGGGCAAGAAGUUGAAGGUUCACUUGAAGUAGUUUGAACCAAAAUUCUCGAGCAAAAACACAUCCAAUGAUAUGGUCCAAGGUUUCUUGAUCCUGAUCACAUAAUGGACAUCUCUCUGGAUGGUGCAUGCCUCUUUCAUGCAGCCUAUCUGUUGUCCAAACCUUCCUGUGUGCGACCAACCACAUAAAAAACUUGGUUUUUGGAGGAGCCCAAGUUUUCCAUAUUCUAUGAAAAGGCUCAAACUCAGAAGAUCCAAUAAAGAAACCCCUAUAUGCUUCCUUUGAGAAGAACUUUCCGUUUGCAGCUAGGCGAAAAAAAUGCUUGUCUUCAACUUGAGGUCUUAGAACAAUUGGGUCGAUUAAAUCCCACAAGAUGAGAAACUCAUUGAUAAUUCCAACAGAAAGAGCUCCAUGAAUGUCAGAAAUCCAGCUGAUUAGAGAUAGCAUCCACCACUGUUCUCUUGUUAACCCUUCUCUUAGGAAUGAUCCCAAAUAAUCGAGGGGCUAAGUCUGCAAUUCUGUGACCCAAUAGCCACCUAUCAGUCCAGAAAAAAGUUGUAGCCCCAUUACCAAGCUCAGUUUGCAUAGCCAUUGAGAAGAAAUAUAUCACCUUUUUAGGGACUUGCAAAGCAAGAGAGGCCCAUGGCAAGUUGGCUCAGUUUUAGCCAGCCAUAGCCAUCGCAUUCUUUUUUUUUUCGUGAACGCGCAGGAGAGUUGUGCAUCAUUAAAUUAAGAGAAGAAAACAGUCCAAAAUGGACCAAAGUACAAUGCCAAAAUAGGCAAAACACAAAACCACCAACUCCUGUUGCGCACAGAACUGCAGCCUCCUUAUGCGCAUGAAAACUGCACACAAAAGGAAACCAAACAGCAAAAAGUGCCAGCAGACCACACACACCUCCUCUUCACUAAUCACCCAAAAGAACCCUUGACCUAAAAAUUACAGCACCAGGACCCAAAGCCUCAAGAUGUCUAGCACCGGCAAGCCUCCAGCACUCAACUUCAUCCAAAAAAAACUGUCUUUAUUCCAUUAAUUGAAGGUCUGACACCAUCAAAAACCGCCUUAUUACGAUGAAGCCAUAAACACCAAGCCCCCAAGAUGAUGAUACUGUUAAACCCCAGCAAGUUCUUUUAUGCUGGAAAUGCCCAGACCACCCUGUUAGAAUUCUUGUAUUAGGCCUUUGGUGUGAGUGGGGCCGGGCUGUCAUAUGCUUAUGCACAGACCCGGCCUAGGGAUGCUGCGCCAUCCCCCUCUAUAGGAGGUUUUCCCUGUGCUGCUAGCCUGCCUUCUAGAGUGGCUGCCCUUCCUUCUAGGCGGUUUCCUUAUGGAGCCUUUCCUCCUAGAAGGUUUCCCUCUGGGGCCUUCCCUUACCAGCCAUAGGGUUUCCUCCUCUUGUAAGCCUAUAUAUAUUGGCCUUCCAAGGCCUGUCAAUUUAUGAAACAUUUAGUGACACACACUAUCCAUUGAUUUUUUUCUCGAUUCCGCUCCUAUCUAGGGUUGUCGCCGCCCUCUUUCCUCUAUAAGGGUCGUAGCCACCCUCCUUCCCUGGGUCGCUAGUUCUACUUCCCCAUCUCACCCAUGGCCGACGACGCUGUUGUGAUCCAGCAGCUGAUCGCGGAGAAGAUGGUCCCCCUGCAGACCGCUGAGAAGGAUGUGGUCGCUGCUCGUGCUUGGGUCCGGGCCAUCGCCCUUCUCCUGGAAAAAGAGCAGGCCGCCUCUGCAGCCCUGGACGCCAAGGCAGCUGCCGUGGCCAGGCUGCUCGCACCGUCGUCUUCCACCUCGCCGCCGACGAGGCAGCCAUCAUCAUCAACCUACACAUGCAGGCCUGCGGGCUUCAAAACAUCCGCUCGCUAGUAACUACGACUCUAGACCCCUCGUCAACAGGUUAUGCUCGCUAGCGAGAUCAGGUGCUACUCACCCUCAAGCGCUACACCCUCAACGAUCACGUCCUCUCCAACAACGCUACCUCCACGAAUCUGGCCUGGGCGCGGAUGGACAGUGUUGUCGUCUCCUGGAUCUUCGGGACCAUCAGCACCGAACUGCAGGACCUCGCUCGGGAGGAGUGGGGUGUCACUGCUCGGCAGGCCUGGCUGACCCUUGAACAUCAGUUCAUCGAAAGCGAGACACACGCUCCACCUCGACGCCAUGUUCGCAACUUCGUCCAAGGCGAUCUCUCGAUGAACGACUACUGCCGCAAGAUAAAGGCUAUGGCGGACUCCCUCCGCGAUCUCGGCUGCAAGGUCUCCGACCGCAACCUCAUCCUCAACGUUCUGCGAGGUUUGAACAAGCGGUACGAACACCUUCGCGCCAUCAUCACACGAAGCAUCCCCUUCCCGACUUUCCACAAAGUCCGGGACGACCUUGUUCUGGAGGAACUACAACUAGGACCUGAUUCGCCGUCGGCACCACAUCAGGCCUUCUACUCCAACAACCAGUCCUAGCCCCCACACCCCUCUGCCUCGUCGAGGCCCCGUGGUCAGGGACAGGGACACGGCCAUGGGCGUGGCCGUGAGAAAGGCGGCAAGGGGUCUAGUGGGCACUAUCAGGGGCACGACCACCGUGCUCCUGGAUCGACAAGGAACCAGGGCCAUGGCAGUACCUCUACUAUUGGUGCUCAGUCCUCAUGGCCCUCGUUUUACAAUCCCUGGACUGGGACAAUAUCAAUGUAUCCCGGUCCGACUCCGUGGCAACCACAACAGCAACAUCGUGCCCCGCAGCAGCAAGCCUUCAUCGUCGACCCUAGACAGCAGGCCUUCGUCGCUGCCCUGGAUCGCCCAUGGGGGUGCCUCAGCUCCCACCCUCGCUGGCCCCUAUCCCUGCUCCAGCGCAGACCUUUGGAGCCCAACAACAGCAGCCAGCUGCCUCAUUUCCAUGGACUCUGUGGCAGGGAGCCUAGGAUCAGCAGUCCCUGGCCCAAUCCUUCAACACGAUGACCCUUCAGCAGCCUCUGUCGAUCACUGAAUGGGUCGCUGACUCCGGCGCCUCGAAUCACACAACGCCAUAUCUCGGUAACAUCUCGCAUUUUCGAAUUCCAACUUCUUCUAUCCCUUCAUCUAUCAUUAUUGGAAAUGGGUCCAGUCUGUCGGUCACCUCAGUAGGCGACGUGGUUCUUCCCGGCCCAUUUUAUCUUCAUAAUGUUCUUGUUACUCCUAAUAUCACUAAGAAUUUGUUAUUUGUUCGUUAGUUUACCACUGACAAUAAUUGUUCCAUGGAGUUUGACCCGUUUGGCCUCUCUGUUAAGGAUCUCAUUUCCAUAAAAGAGAUCAUCAGGUGCAAUAGCUCUGGGCCGCUCUACACCAUCAGUCUCCAUGUUGUUCGUGCUCCUCCGCCACUACACACUACGCUCUUGCUACUGUUACUGCUCUUGUGUCUCUUUGGCACCGGCGUCUUGGUCACCCUAGCCCUGAUGUUUUAUCCAAGCUAUAUAGCAUUUUUGUUGUUCGUUGUAAUAAGCCUACCAAUAGUCAUGUUUAUCAUGCAUGUCAAUUAGGCAAAAACACUAGGCUUCCCUUUACUCAGUCAUCCUCUCGUGCUACUUAGUGUUUCGAUUUAGUUCAUUGUGAUUUGUGGACAUCUCCUGUGGCUAGCAUUUCGGGAUUCAAAUACUAUCUUCUCAUUCUUGAUGAUUUUUCGCACUACUCUUGGACCUUUCCGUUGCGCUUAAAGUCUGACACCUUCUCCACUAUCACUCAUUUUUCUCUUAUGUUCUUACACAGUUUGGGUGCACGGUUAAGAGUGUUCAGUGCGACAAUGGUCGAGAAUUCGACAACUCCUCCACUUGCACGUUCUUUUUCAACCAUGGUGUCUACCUUCGCAUGUCUUGUCCUUACACCUCACCACAGAACGGUAAAGUAGAACGUAUGUUGCGCACCACAAACAACAGUAUUCACACUUUGUCGUUUCAAGCCUCCAUGGCUCCUCGGUACUGGGUCAAGGCCCUUCAUACUGCUACUUACUUACUGAACUGCCUUCCCACUAAAAUCGUUCGUGCUUCAUGCCCUUUUGUUGCCCUUCACAACAAAACACCAAAUUAUGACCAACUUCGUGUUUCGGGUGUGCAUUCUAUCCAAACCUCUCUGCUACUGCCCCACAUAAACUUGCUCCCCGUUCUGCUCGAUGUGUGUUUAUAGGAUACUCCCAUAAACACAAGGGAUAUCGUUGCCUUCAUCUUUCCACAAAUCGCGUCGUGAUCUCCCAACACGUCAUUUUUUAUGAGGACUAUUUCCCCUUUGCAGCCUCUCCCCCUCUAACUAAUGACUUUGAUUUUUUAUUUGAGAUGGAACCGGUGCUUUCACCCAUGGUAUACGUCUCCUUGCAAGUAUUCUCGUGUGCCCGCUACAGCAAUGGCCACACCGCCCCCAUGUGUCCAUUGUUGUUGACACUGAGGUGCCUCUCCCGGUUGUCUCAGCAUCUGCCCCGACACCCUCCACGGCGCUGCCACCUUAUUCUGUGGCACCAGCUGUCGCCCCUGCAGUGCCUCUGGCACCUUCAGGGGCGCAACCCUGUACGCGGUUUGCUCAACCGAGUCAGGGCCUCGCCCUGCGGACACUUCAUUAGAUGCCCCGACGCCAAUCCGGGUGUAUCAACGGCGCUCUACGACCACUACAUCAGCUACCUCUCCGUCCCAGAUACCUGCUGUACCGGGCACUUCCGAGCUCUCUCCUGCACCACCAGAGCUCCCACACGGUGCCUGCUCGGUGCCUCGGGUUCUCCCUGCAGGUGUUGUUCCGAUUGCCCCGGUGGUCCAUCCUCACUUGAUGUUCACUCGAGGCACUGAUGGUUUUCGCCAGCCGGCUCAGUACCUCGCCACUACGAUUUCGUCGAUUCCAACUUCAGUCUGUACUGCCCUUGCUGACCCACAUUGGAGGGUGGCAAUGGAGGAAGAAUACUCUUCUUUGAAGGCCAACGGCACGUGGGACUUGGUUCCUCGUCCCCCUAGUGCUAAUAUUGUCACUGGAAAUGUAUUUUCACGCACAAAUUUCAUACAGAUGGCUAUUAGUCGGUAUAAGGCCCGUUGGGUUCUACGUGGCUCCACCCAGCGGUCAGGCAUUGAUUACGAUGAGACUUUCAGUCCAGUAAUUAAACAUGCUACAGUACGCACGGUACUCUCUGUGGCCCUUGCCUAGAAUUGGCCUCUUCGUCAGCUGGAUGUCAAGAAUGCAUUUCUUCAUGGUACAUUGACAGAGACCGUCUACUGCUCGCAGCCUACUGGGUUCUUUAAUCCUACUCAGCCAAACUUGGUAUGUCGCCUCAACAAGUCUCUCUAUGGCCUCAAGCAGGCACCCCAUGCCUGGUACAGUCGGUUUGCUACUUAUUUGCUCUCAAUGGGUUUUCUGGAGGCCAAGUCAGAUACCUCCCUCUUUAUAUAUCGUUGUGGUGCUGAGACAACUUAUAUGCUCCUUUAUGUUGAUGACAUUGUUCUACUGCUUCUAGUUCUGAGUUAAUAUUGUGUACCAUCUCUGCUUUACAACGGGAAUUUGCUAUGAAGGAUCCAGGUCAGCUUCAUCAUUUCUUGGCCAUCACUGUUCAGAGGAACUCCACUGGACUUCUCUUGCAUUAACGUCAGUAUACAUAGGAGAUCAUUAGUCGGGCGGGCUUGGCAGGUUGCAAACCCUGCAACACUCCGAUCGACACACCUGCCAAGAUUUCUGGUACCUCUGGUACACCACUCAGUAACCCUACUCGUUACAGAAGUUUGGCUGGAGCAUUGCAGUACAUUACAUUCACUCGCCCUGACAUCACAUAUGCACUCCAGCAAGUGUGCCUUCAUAUGCAUGACCCUCGGGAGCCCCACAUGAAUGCUCUCAAACGUAUUCUUCGUUACCUCCAGGGUACUCCGGAUUUUGGCCUUCUUCAACGGUCCACUACUGUUGGACUGGUGGUGUAUACUGAUGCUGAUUGGGCAGGUUGUCCUGACACCCGUCGGUCCACUUCUGGUAAUGUCGUCUUUCUUGGUGACCUCAUAUCUUGGUCAUCCAAGCGUCAGAACACAGUCUCCCGCUCCAGUGCUGAGGCAGAGUAUCGUGCUAUUGCAAAUGGUGUUGCAGAGGCUUCUUGGUUGCGCUAGCUGCUCCUAGAACUGCAUUCACCAUUGACCCACAGUUGCCUAGUUUAUUGUGAUAACGUCAGUGCCGUCUACAUGUCAUCCAAUCCAGUUCAGCAUCAGCGUACAAAGCACAUUGAGAUUGACCUGCACUUGUUCGAUACAAGGUGGUCAUUGGUGAUGUCAGUGUUCUUCAUGUUCCAACGACAUCACAAUUCGCUGAUAUUUUCACUAAAGGCCUUCCUACUUCGGUUUUCUCUGAUUUUCGGUCUAGUCUCGACGUCUGCCGCAGCUAGAGUUGGAACUGCAGGGGGCGUUAGAAUUCUUGUAUUAGGCCUUUGGUGUGAGUGGGGUCGGACUGUCAUAUGCUUAUGCACAGACCCGGCCCAGGGAUGUUGCGCCAUCCCCCUCUAUAGGAGGUUUUCCCUGUGCUGCUACCCUGCCUUCUAGAGUGGAUGCCCUUCCUUCUAGGCGGUUUCCUUAUGGAGCCUUUCCUCCUAGAAGGCUUCCCUCUUGGCCUUUCCUUCCCAGCCAUAGGGUUUCCUCCUCUUGUACGCCUAUAUAUAUUGGCCUUCCAAGGCCUGUCAAUAUAUGAAACAUUUGGCGACACACGCUAUCCAACACACCCAACUCACGAGGCCUACAAACAAUUCCCCAAGCCACAUGAUAGUGACCACCUUUUGCAUCUCUACGGCCUCUCCACAGAAAACCUCGACGAAUCUUAUCAAUGGCUUUAAGGGCCCAAGCUGGAAGAUCGACAACCAUAGCCAAGUAGAUGACCAUCCCUAUGAGAACAUCCUGGACUUGCACUUUUCGACCAACUUUAGUCAAUAACUCAGCCUUCCAUCUAGAGAGUUGAUUUGCAAUUUUAUCAAUAAUGGGUUGAACUUGGAUUUUUGAAAUCUUUUUAAUGGCAAGCGGUAAACCCAGAUAACGACAAGGGAAUUCCGCUAACUCACAAGGCAACAUAUUCUGCAGCACAGCAAGGUCUUGAAAAAUUCAUCCUCUAAUUUUUGGGAGCCAAGUCCUCUAGGGACUAUAAAUAUAGGGGCAAUGUAACCGUUCUAAGGUAAGCAAGACAAUUAUCUUGUUUGGCCUCAAGGGCCAUCUCCCAUGUCUCUUUCUCGCUAGCCUGCUCCUUGUGUCUAACCACAGCUCUUGUGCACCGUCGGGGGUGCACACCCCCCACCAUCGAUCUCCUAUCCAUACAACUUACGCAGCCACGGUAGCAUUUCAAAUCCUAUCAAUCUGGUAUCUAGAUGCCGAGUGACGAUGACUCAGAGAAGCAGUUGUCCAUCCCACCAGCAGCCACGGUAGAAAGUGACGCCACCGCGAAGGCCUUGGCGGACAUCGCCAUUAGCUGCCAAUCUCUCCACCUGCAUGUCAUCAUUAGAGCACCAGCAGGUGUCCUCCUCCGUGGGUGCCAUGCACCAAGAUUUUUCCUAUGGGAUGCCAGGGUACGGGGUAAUGACGUUCCCAUCCUUCUCCACUGCUACCACUAUACCACCCUCCACAACUCACCCCCCCCUGCCCACCACCAUCAUGCACACCGCAACAGACACAGUUGUCCCAUUUGUCCCUUGCCCGUCCACCAAAUCAACUUUCCCUCCUCGCCAUCCCCGCUACCAACGUUUCCGCGAGGGCCACUUUCUCAUUUGCACAGACGUCCUCCAGUGUAGACGUUGCCCGCGCGCCCACCGGUUUGAGUGUUCUCCGCUUCAGCAAGCACGACUUCUCCACCUAUGACGGCAGGAACCCCUUAACUGGCUCAACCAUUGUGAUCAGCUCUUCCAUGGGCAGCGUACACUCGUCUUAGAUUGAGUUUGGCUCGCUUCCUACCACCUCGCGGGCACGGCCUAGACAUCAUGGUACUGUAGCACAUGUAUCCAAUUUAGGAAGGAGUUGAAAUAGAGAUCACUUAGAAGCUAAGAUUGAGUUGGUUUUAGGCUAUCUCCAGCAACUUACCCAUCCUCAUUACCCAUUUCAAACUCUACUAUGUAAACAGUGCAGUCUACAGUGCAAAACAGUGUUUUGGGUGACCAUAUGGGUGAACUGCUGAAGACAGUCUUAGGAAAUAGGAUUGGUUUGUUAUGAAAAGAGAGUAUAAACCUAUAAGGAUUCCUUCUCUAGUUUGCUUCGAAGCCAAGUCCUCUAAGGGCUAUAAAUAUAGGGGCAAUGUAACCAUUUUAAGGUAAGCAAGACAAUUAUCUUGCUUGGCCUUAAGAGCCAUCUCACACAUCUCUUUCUCGAACGCCUACUCCUUGUGUCUGACCACGGCUUGCCAGGGGUACAUGCCCUAGGCAUCAAUCUCCUAUCCAUACAACUUACACAGCCGUGGUAGGAUUCCAGAUUCUAUCAGAUGGCAACAGUCUACAUCAGAUUACUAGAAACUGCAAUUCAUAGUAAUAGUAUAGAUGACCUCUACUAGAUUCACAAUUGAAGUUCAUACAAAUUGUCACCAACUUUUCAGGCAUAGCUAAUCACUAGAUGCAAUAAUGAUUAGUGCCACAUUUACAUACCCUGGCAGUUGACUUGUGUAUUCUGCAGUAGGCAUCUGACUUCCAUGGCUAAAGCAAUGUAAAGGCCGAAAAAAUCGCAUGUCUCUGCUUCGCAAAACAUCCUUGCUUUGAUUUAUUGGGACAAGUCUUGUAUCCCAUACCAAAGUAUUAUUUGAUGUGCUAGAAGCAGAAAAAUAGGUGCCACAGUUGCUAAAUGAAACAGAUGUAACCUGUUGAGAAGCAAUAUAUUUCUUAUCAGUUCUCAGAGAAGAAAUAUAUUAGUAACUAAGAGCGCAAUAAUAAAUAUUUCAGUGUCAUAAAUACAGUACGCCCUUCAUUCUUACUCCAUUCAAAAUUACAAGACAUUUUGGCUUUUCUAGAUACAUAGCUUUUGCAAUACACUUAGAUACACUAUGUCUAAUACAUAAUAAAAAUAAUAUAUCUAGAAAGGUCAAAACGUCUUAUAAUUUAAAACGGAGGGAGUAGAUGAUAAUCUACAAUAGCAAUGAAAUAAUUUCCACAUUAUCAAUUCAAACUAUACAACUCUCAAUUCCAACUUCUAUGCAACAAUACCUCACAACUAGAUCCCACUGACAAGUGGCUAAUUGCAGAACAAGUACGGAUGUCAAAUAAGCCAAUAGUCCCAUCGCCAGAACCUGCAUAUUGGAAGUAAAGAUAAAAAUGCAGUUCAUCAUGGGCUCAUGGCUGCAAUAGAGGAGAUCCCAUGUGACAGAAAAAAUAAAGUACCAGUAAUGAGAGUGUUGCCAGCAGGGUUGACUUUAAGGGAAGUAAUGUACUGUGACAAAGAUAUGUUAGUCCUCCAUUAACCUCUAAAAGCAUGCAUUCAUAGAAACAAAAUGAGAAGGUACAUACAGAGUCACUUGCAGAGAAAGAUAAAUAAGACUCUGGAGAAUCAAUAUCCCAUAAUUGUACCACAGCUGAGCCACCAUAGUCACAAUCACUUCCACAUGCCAGAUGAUUCUCACUAUAGAACUCCAUUGUAUCAACUGAGGGAUAGAUCAUAUCCUGAGACCUAGAUUAACACAGAUUCACAGGGUUUAAGUAUGGUUUAACCGCUUAAGAAUAUUCAGAUUUUGCAGGCUUAAUUGACAAUAUAAAAUAGAUGUGAAAUUGUGAACCAUUAACACAAAUAAGCUUGCACCUAGAUCCUACAAAUCAACAGAUUGCAUGGUUCACACUUCACACAGGUUUAAACAUAGACCGAUACCACAAACAUAUAAAAAAUACAAUGGCAAAAAAAACUUUUUACUUUUCAUUUUCCCAUCAUCUCCCUCAGCAUAAAUUCUGGAUGGAAUAGUAAACAAUGGUAAAUGAAUCAUUAGGACAUCUAAAUCUGCCAAAUCUAUCUUUAGCAUAAUAAGCCAUUAUUAAAUUCCUUUCAAUUAUUUUUUAUCAGCUACACUACAUCACUUCAACAAGAAAAUCAAUAUCACAAAGAUGGUAUUUCCAUUUCCACUUUUCCUCUCUGGAAACUGAGGCUACAUAAAGCAAUUUAGUCCGCAGCUUAAGAAACUUUCCAUGCAAAAUGCACACAUAUAGUUUCUACUUUCAAUAACUGUAUCAACAUAUUUUAUCUUUUUUCCUCAAAAACACAGGAGAGGUGUGUGUCUUCGUAUUAAAGAGAGAAUAAGAAAAAUGUCCCUCAUAAAGCAGCCACUCUAUCUCAAUUAGGGGAGAAGAGGGGUUAAGGGGAAAAAGAAACGGUAACAAUCAUCAACAUUCUCUUUAAUAAAAUGCACAGUAGGGGACUGUAUUUCCCCUAAAAAAACAAGCACCAAUGUUCAACGUUCAAAAUAAAGUAAAAAAACAUCAUGGAUCUCUAAACUUUUCCAGCAUCUCAUCUAGGUCCAUAAAUUCUAAAAGCAACCAUCUGGGUCCUGUUAACUUUUCAAAUCAUUCAUCUGAAGGGAGAAUAACUAAAUACUGUUGUAAGCAUUAACAAUUUAUAAUUCAACAAAUUUUAUAAAGAAAACGUUGAUAUUACAUUAUAACAUAAUAACUUAAGAUAUGAUACUUGUGAACUAAGGCAGAACAAGUACUUAUAAGGAGAAAAAAGAAAACAAAUUGCGAUGGACAAGGACAAAUUCACGUGUUACCUCAAGUUCGAAUUUAGAUCAGAAGCAAGUUCACCUCUUAAAGCAUUCCAUAGUAGAAGCUUCCCAUCACCUUUUGCUCCACUGGUGACAACAAGACCUGAAAAUGUACACCAUGUUGGUACCAAAAUUUAAAAAAAUGGAAUAAAAUAUAAAUAAUUACGAUUCAAAAGAGAAACAGAAGACAAAUGAGCAAAGCAGUAGAGCUAACACAAUCUAUAUUUAUAUCUAUAUCUAUCUACACCUAUAUCUAUAUCUAUGGAGGUGUUUGGCACUGCUCUGGUCCAGCUUCAACAUGAAGUUGUGGUGUAUAAUAUAAAUUUAAACGGUUUUAAAAAAAUAUUUUAAAUCUAAAUAAAAAACUAAAUGACUUAUCUAAAUGUCUUCUAAAAGUUUGCAACUUCAGCUUUAUUGUGUGGUGUGUGUGGGGUGUGAUGUUGUUUGGGGUUCCUUGCCCUUUUUUCUUCUUCUUAAUAUAAUGAUAAGUAGUGUUCGAGAAAAAAAAGGCUUUACGAUUUUCUGAAGCUCCUAAUGCCCUGCUUCAUCAACUUCACUAAGGUUGUCUUCGAUGGAUCAUGUAAAAUAAGGGACGCGACACUGUAGAUGACAUUGUUUACAGAGUGAAGUUUGAAAUUGGGGAUGGGAUAGGGGAGCUGCUGGAGACGGCCUAAAUUUUGUGAAGCUGAAGCAGUCCCAACUCCCAAACAGGGCCUAUAUAUCUAUCUAUAUCUAUAUAUCUUGAUCUUAUAUUUUCAAUCCACACUAGCAUUCUAUCUCACCAUGCAAGCUGUCCACAUCAGCAUCCACUAGCACAUGCAAUCAUGUCUUCAUUCAAAGCAAGUCACAUCAUCCACUAACAUGUACUAUGAUAUUUAUCUGCUGAUGUAAGUAAAUAUAACUAUAUAAGUAGUAUAAUUCCAUUUAAAAACAUCAGUGAUUCCCGUGACAACGCACGGGGUAUCCUUCUAGCUACACAGAGAGUUAUCCUCAUUAUCUGCUGUUAAUAUAUCCUUAUCUUCCAUAGAUGUUGCAGGCAUCACCCAACAAAAUCACUAUUCUAUUGAGACAUAAGACAUAGGGAGUCAAUCAGCAUAAAAACGGAAACCAACAUAAGGAGUAUGUUCUUUCCCAUGGAAAAGCUGCCAACUCAGCAUCAAUUGCCUAAGAAAACUACAAACAUAAAAAGGAGAAAGCUACCAACUAAACAAAUGUAAAUAAAAGAUACAAGAUGUAGGAGUUUGUGGGAUAAAGAGAUAAGGUUGAUGAAGAGCAUACAUACAGGAUUGCCAUUUAUUCACUGCCAUAGCAUUUAUUUUCUGAGUAUGCCCCACUGAAUUUUGAUCAUCGCCACCCAGCGUAUAGAGGCAAGACCCAGUAAUGCAGUCCCAUACCUAUUCUCCAGUACAGGAAGAGAAACAAUAAGCAGCUUAUUCCAACAUCAGUUGCAGUGAUUGGCAAUGAACAAAAUCUAGUUACCUUUAAUAAAUUAGAAGCACAAGACACUACACUUGCUCCUUUGACUGCAAAGGCGAUAGACUGGAUCUGAGAACAAUAAGUAGAACUAAGUAACAACGCUAGUCAACAUUGUAAAAGUAAGCGUCAGCAUGUCAAAAACUCUAUGACCAAAGAUAACGAAAUCCAAAAAUAAAAUAAUUCUAAUAUAAGUGAAAUUCAGAUUGGUUGGACGUUGGCACUUGCACAACAGAUACUCUUAUCUGGUUGUAUCACAUCCAGGAACUAGAUAUGCUUAUGAAACAGUCAGUUUCUCAUUGUAUAGGGCACGUUUAGAAGCAAUGUGACAAAAAAUUGAGAAUGAAGCACGAAACACGAAUAUUACAAGUGAAAGGUUCAAGCAUGUCAUAUAGUCGCAUGACCACCUUUAUCAUUAUUUUUCAGGGCUGCGGUCUUAACUCGUGUGCUUUUAUCCAGAUAUAGGAAAGGAUACUAACAGUCUAACACUACUUUUUUCUCGAAUACGCAGGAGAGCUGCAUAUCAGUUCAUUAAAAGGAGGACGAAAAGAAAGAAAUUACACACGCCCGGCCAAAGGCUAAGGCACACAGACACACACACUACCCACUAGGUUGGACUACAUAGAGCCGGUUAGGAAAAACCAGUAACAGCAGCCAGCAACCUGACGACUAUGAGGUAAAAAACCUACAUCAUCCACAUCCUGCGCCAACUGGAGCUGGAUGCCUUUAGCACCAGCCUUGCGCCAACACCAGGCCUCCUCUCCAGCAUUGGAGAGAGCAGUAGAGAGAUGGGGAGUUGCAC
This 14194-nucleotide long non-coding RNA is filed under the name Zea mays. RNAcentral's name for it is "long non-coding RNA (ZMAY_LNC002262)". Lineage: Eukaryota; Viridiplantae; Streptophyta; Magnoliopsida; Poales; Poaceae. The record is from RNAcentral.